RNAcentral lists this ribosomal RNA (1435 nucleotides) under uncultured bacterium. RNAcentral's name for it is "bacterial SSU rRNA". It matches the Rfam family "Bacterial small subunit ribosomal RNA". The record is from RNAcentral.
AGAGUUUGAUCCUGGCUCAGAACGUACGCUGGCGGCACGCCUUAUACAUGCAAGUCGAACGAAGUAGCAAUACUUAGUGGCAGACGGGUGAGUAACAUGUGGGUAUCUGCCCUUUGGCCUGGAAUAACACGAGGAAACUUGUGCUAAUACCGGAUAAGUCUUUACGGAGAAAGCUUUAUGCACCAUUGGAUGAGCCUGCACUUGAUUAGUUUGUUGGUGGGGUAAUGGCCUACCAAGACAAUGAUCAAUAGCUGAUUUGAGAGGAUGAUCAGCCACAUUGGAACUGAGACACGGUCCAAACUCCUACGGGAGGCAGCAGUAGGGAAUCUUGCACAAUGGAGGAAACUCUGAUGCAGCGAUGCCGCGUGAGUGAAGAAGGCCUUUGGGUUGUAAAGCUCUUUCGUCGGGGAAGAAAAUGACUGUACCCGAAUAAGAAGGUCCGGCUAACUUCGUGCCAGCAGCCGCGGUAAUACGAAGGGACCUAGCGUAGUUCGGAAUUACUGGGCUUAAAGAGUUCGUAGGUGGUUAAAAAAGUUGGUGGUGAAAUCCCAGAGCUUAACUCUGGAACUGCCAUCAAAACUUUUUAGCUAGAGUAUGAUAGAGGAAAGCAGAAUUUCUAGUGUAGAGGUGAAUUCGUAGAUAUUAGAAAGAAUACCGAUUGCGAAGGCAGCUUUCUGGAUCAUUACUGACACUGAGGAACGAAAGCAUGGGUAGCGAAGAGGAUUAGAUACCCUCGUAGUCCAUGCCGUAAACGAUGUGUGUUAGACGUUGGAAAUUUAUUUUCAGUGUCGCAGCGAAAGCGAUAAACACACCGCCUGGGGAGUACGACCGCAAGGUUAAAACUCAAAUGAAUUGACGGGGACCCGCACAAGUAGUGGAGCAUGUGGUUUAAUUCGAAGAUACGCGCAGAACCUUACCAACACUUGACAUGUUCGUCGCGACUCUAAGAGAUUAGAGUUUUCGGUUCGGCCGGACGAAACACAGGUGCUGCAUGGCUGUCGUCAGCUCGUGUCGUGAGAUGUUGGGUUAAGUCCCGCAACGAGCGCAACCCUUACUUUUAGUUGCCAUCAUUUAGUUGGGCACUCUGAAAGAACUGCCAGUGAUAAGCUGGAGGAAGGUGGGGAUGACGUCAAGUCCUCAUGGCCCUUAUGUGUUGGGCUACACACGUGCUACAAUGGUAUCUACAACAGGAAGCAAGAUGGCAACAUUUAGCAAAUCCUAAAAAGAUAUCUCAGUUCGGAUUGCACUCUGCAACUCGAGUGCAUGAAGCUGGAAUUACUAGUAAUCGUGGAUCAGCGUGCCACGGUGAAUACGUUCCCGGGUCUUGUACACACCGCCCGUCACACCAUGGGAGUUGGUUCUACCUUAAGGCAAAGUUUAAAACCUUUGACCACGGUAUAGUCAGCGACUGGGGUGAAGUCGUAACAAGGUAACC